AUCCAAGUGUUUGUCGUCCCUGCAACUGUCAAGACUCCAAGAUGGCACGUUAAGUGACGCAAGGCAGCUGGCCAAAAAUUCUAUAGAAUCCUUGCCGGCUUUCUAUUUGGUGUUCAGGCACUGACGCCAUGAUUUAUAAACAACUCCCAUGAUAUGGCUUGUGUAUGUCUGCAAUGUGUCUCAGUGCAACGUAAACUUUUCGAAAAUGCUUCUGAUGAUGACUACCAGAGGCAGCUAAUACUAAUUUAGCGACUACCGACUUGAUAUGACAACAAAUCAGAAGAAAUUGUGAAGCGGACCACGUGGCAGAUACGAACUAGUUGAAACUUAUCAAAAACUGCGUCCAGUGGACCAAUGCUCAGGAGGAGAAUGCAGUUAUUUCCUCGUCAAUAAAAUGGAAUGCUGCUGAAUUUAAUCAAUAAUUUCCAGUCGCCUACGAAGGACAACGGUCAUUUGACGACAAAUCUUGGCGAUAAUUCGGGUUAAAUGGAUGAAAGCUAUUAACUCAAGUUAUAUCGGACAAGAUAUUGCGAAGAUUUGGAGCAAAUAUGCCGUUAGGAGCACAGUGCUAUUUAAUUAGUGUUAAAGUAGUUUCAUAAUACAAACACCGCUAAUAACCUUACUGCUCCUUAAGUUUUAACCAGCCAGCGUAUUUGAAUAUUCCUAUCUUAGGUCCUACGGAUUAAAUAUGCAAUAAGUUAUUAGAUUGUUUCUGCUAUGUGAAUGUGCUAAGAAUAUAAUGACUGUUCUCGAGAUACAGAUCGUUGGAAAA
Molecule: long non-coding RNA, 772 nt
Organism: Dendroctonus ponderosae (mountain pine beetle)
Lineage: Eukaryota; Metazoa; Arthropoda; Insecta; Coleoptera; Curculionidae
Exons: 3
Source: RefSeq, a predicted model, not a curated record